AAUAGCUCAAAUUUGAAAGCUGGCGUCUUCGACGUCCGCGUUGUAAUUUGUAGAGGAUGCUUCGGCGAAGACUCCUGCCUAAGUCCCCUGGAACGGGGCGUCAUAGAGGGUGAGAAUCCCGUAUGUGGCGGGCAGUCUAAGCCAUGUGAAGCUCCUUCGACGAGUCGAGUUGUUUGGGAAUGCAGCUCUAAAUGGGAGGUAAAUUUCUUCUAAAGCUAAAUAUUGGCCAGAGACCGAUAGCGCACAAGUAGAGUGAUCGAAAGAUGAAAAGCACUUUGGAAAGAGAGUUAAAAAGUACGUGAAAUUGUUGAAAGGGAAGCGCUUGCAACCAGACUCGCUCGUAGUUGCUCAGCCGGCCUCUUGGCCGGUGUACUCUUCUACGAUCGGGCCAGCAUCAGUUCGGGCGGCAGGAUAAAGGUGUCGGGAAUGUAGCACCCUUCGGGGUGUGUUAUAGCCCGGCGCGGAAUGCUGCCAGCCUGGACUGAGGAUCUCGCUUCGGCAAGGAUGCUGGCGUAAUGGUUGUAAGCGGCCCGUCUUGAAACACGGACCAAGGAGUCUAACAUCUAUGCGAGUGUUUGGGUGUCAAACCCAUGCGCGUAAUGAAAGUGAACGGAGGUGGGAACCCCUCACGGGGUGCACCAUCGACCGAUCCUGAUGUCUUCGGAUGGAUUUGAGUAAGAGCAUAGCUGUUGGGACCCGAAAGAUGGUGAACUAUGCCUGAAUAGGGUGAAGCCAGAGGAAACUCUGGUGGAGGCUCGCAGCGGUUCUGACGUGCAAAUCGAUCGUCAAAUUUGGGUAUAGGGGCGAAAGACUAAUCU
RNAcentral lists this ribosomal RNA (818 nucleotides) under Phyllosticta paracapitalensis. RNAcentral describes it as "eukaryotic LSU rRNA". It matches the Rfam family "Eukaryotic large subunit ribosomal RNA", at positions 103 to 937 of the family's 3401-position model. Lineage: Eukaryota; Fungi; Ascomycota; Dothideomycetes; Botryosphaeriales; Phyllostictaceae. The record is from RNAcentral.